Molecule: ribosomal RNA, 497 nt
Filed under: uncultured bacterium
Lineage: Bacteria
Description: partial 16S ribosomal RNA
Rfam family: Bacterial small subunit ribosomal RNA
Source: RNAcentral
GAUGAACGCUGGCGGCGUGCCUAAUACAUGCAAGUCGAGCGAACAGACGAGGAGCUUGCUCCUCUGACGUUAGCGGCGGACGGGUGAGUAACACGUGGAUAACCUACCUAUAAGACUGGGAUAACUUCGGGAAACCGGAGCUAAUACCGGAUAAUAUAUUGAACCGCAUGGUUCAAUAGUGAAAGACGGUUUUGCUGUCACUUAUAGAUGGAUCCGCGCCGCAUUAGCUAGUUGGUAAGGUAACGGCUUACCAGGGCAACGAUGCGUAGCCGACCUGAGAGGGUGAUCGGCCACACUGGAACUGAGACACGGUCCAGACUCCUACGGGAGGCAGCAGCAGGGAAUCUUCCGCAAUGGGCGAAAGCCUGACGGAGCAACGCCGCGUGAGUGAUGAAGGUCUUCGGAUCGUAAAACUCUGUUAUUAGGGAAGAACAAAUGUGUAAGUAACUAUGCACGUCUUGACGGUACCUAAUCAGAAAGCCACGGCUAACUACGUG